RNAcentral lists this ribosomal RNA (254 nucleotides) under uncultured bacterium. RNAcentral's name for it is "partial 16S ribosomal RNA". It matches the Rfam family "Bacterial small subunit ribosomal RNA", at positions 524 to 776 of the family's 1533-position model. The record is from RNAcentral.
UACGUAGGCAGCGAGCGUUGUUCGGAGUUACUGGGCGUAAAGGGUGUGUAGGCGGUUCUUUAAGUUUGGUGUGAAAUCUCCCGGCUUAACCGGGAGGGUGCGCCGAAUACUGAGGGACUUGGAGUGCGGGAGAGGAAAGUGGAAUUCCUGGUGUAGCGGUGAAAUGCGUAGAUAUCAGGAGGAACACCGGUGGUGUAGACGGCUUUCUGGACCGUAACUGACGCUGAGACACGAAAGCGUGGGUAGCAAACAGG